This 253-nucleotide ribosomal RNA is filed under the name uncultured bacterium. RNAcentral describes it as "partial 16S ribosomal RNA". It matches the Rfam family "Bacterial small subunit ribosomal RNA", at positions 524 to 776 of the family's 1533-position model. The record is from RNAcentral.
UACGAAGGUCCCGAGCGUUAUCCGGAUUCAUUGGGUUUAAAGGGUGCGUAGGUGGAAUGAUAAGUCAGUGGUGAAAUCUUGCAGCUCAACUGUAAAACUGCCAUUGAUACUGUUGUUCUUGAGUGUGGUUGAUGUGGGCGGAAUAUGUCAUGUAGUGGUGAAAUACUUAGAUAUGACAUAGAACACCGAUUGCGAAGGCAGCUCACAAAGCCAUUACUGACACUGAGGCACGAAAGCGUGGGGAUCAAACAGG